Long non-coding RNA from Artibeus jamaicensis (Jamaican fruit-eating bat), 368 nucleotides. RefSeq lists it as uncharacterized. The record is from RefSeq and is a predicted model, not a curated record. NCBI's taxonomy places the organism in Eukaryota, Metazoa, Chordata, Mammalia, Chiroptera, Phyllostomidae. The transcript has 3 exons.
CCUCCGCGAGGCCGCGGUCUUUAAAGUGCGCUUUGCGGGGCUGGGGAGGGGGCGCUGCGCUUCCAGCCUCCCAGUUCUCUUGCUCCUGUGCUUCUCUCCUCCCAAGCAAAGGCCUCCAAGGUGACAGGCCCCCCGGCACCAGGUCCACGUACCUCGCACCUCCGCCGUACACGCGGGUGCGAGGGACUGUCGAGGCGGACGAGGCCGUGCCCUUUUCCCGAGAGCGCGAUGAGAACACUGGGACAACAGGAAAAUCGUAUGCACUGUCCAGUAUCAUUCAGCUGGGUACCAGUUUCAGGAGAGCAAGAGCAAAGCACAUCACCUCUCCUGUUUGCUCCUGGAUCCUGAGCAUCUAAUACGGAGCCAGG